Non-coding RNA from Malus domestica (apple), 518 nucleotides. Lineage: Eukaryota; Viridiplantae; Streptophyta; Magnoliopsida; Rosales; Rosaceae. The record is from RefSeq and is a predicted model, not a curated record.
UUUUUCACACUGGUGGCAAUGGGUUCGAACCCUCAUGCCUUUAGGAUUUAUGAGAUUGUUUUUUAAUUUUGUUGAGAAAUCAACAAAAUCCUUUAACCCUAACUUUUUUAUUUUUCAUUCCCCUCUUCUCUCUCUUGUUCCCUGCCUCCAGACUCCCUCUAUGAACCCUAACCCAGUAACCCUCUCGCGCCGCCUGAGCUUCCUGUCUCUCUCGCUCGGUCUUCAAUCGCUCUGUCUCUCUCAAUCUCUCAGGCAACCCGCGACAGCGCGACCCUUCUCACUCUCAAUCUCUCACACCUCGCCCUCUCCAUCAGUCUCUCAUCUCGCCGUUUCGAGUCUCGAUAGCAAAAGGCGACCCACGACGGGGCGACCCAUCUCACUCUCAAUCUCUCACACCUCGCCCUCGCCGUCAGUCCUUCAUCUCGCCGUGAGCUUCUUCUUGCCGUUUCGAGUCUCGACUGCAAAAGACGGAAGCUCUCUACUCCAAACUCUACGAAAAGUACACAAAAAUCAAGGUG